AUGCUCACUUCAGCAGCACAUAUACUAAAAUUGGAAUGAAACAGAGAACAUUAGUACGACCCCUGCACAAGGAUGACACACAAAAU
Small nuclear RNA from Panthera pardus (leopard), 86 nucleotides. The record is from Ensembl. NCBI's taxonomy places the organism in Eukaryota, Metazoa, Chordata, Mammalia, Carnivora, Felidae.